Ictalurus furcatus (blue catfish) is the source of this 3102-nucleotide long non-coding RNA. RefSeq lists it as uncharacterized. Lineage: Eukaryota; Metazoa; Chordata; Actinopteri; Siluriformes; Ictaluridae. The transcript is spliced from 2 exons. The record is from RefSeq and is a predicted model, not a curated record.
UCGCAUGUCUGCGAGUGGGAAAAGUAUGUGAAUCUUUGCGUUCAGUAUCUGGUGUGACCCGCUUGUGCAGCAAUAAGUGCAACUAAACGUUUCCUGCACAUCGGCUUGGAGGAGUUUUAAUCCGUUCCUCAGUGCAGAACAGCUUCAACUCUGGGAUGUUGGUGGGUUUCCUCACAUGAACUGCUCGCUUCGGGUCCUUCAGCAACAUUUCUGUUGGAUUAAGUUCAUGGACAAAUAUCCUGACAUUUUCCUGUAGAAAUCGCUGGUAUAAUUCAGAAUUCAUUGUUCCAUCAAUAAUGGCACGUCGUCCUGGCUCAGAUGCAGAAAAACGGUCACAGACCGUGACACUACCACCACCAUGUUUCACAGAUGGGAUAAGGUUCUUAUGCUGGAAUGCAGUGUUUUUCUUUCUCCAAAUAUAACCCUUCUCAUUUAAACCAAAAAUUCCAUUUUGGUCUCAUCCUUCUACAAAACAUUUUUCCAGUAGUGUUCUGGCUUGUCCAUGUGAUCUUUAGCAAACUGCAGACAGGCAGCAAUGUUCUUUUUGGAGAGCAGUGACUUUCUCCUUGUAACCCUGCCAUGCACACCAUUGUCGUUCAGUGUUCUCCUGAUGGUGGACGCAUGAACAUUAACAUUAGCCAAUGUGAGACAGACCUCACAUCACAGACAGACAAACAGAGUGAGACACAGACACAGAGAGAUAGUCAGACAGACGUGCACAGAGAGAGAGAGAGAGAGAGAGAGAGAGAGAAAUAUAGACAGAUAGAGAGGCUAAGAGAGAGAGAGAAACACACAGACACAGACUGUGAGACAGAGAGACAAACAGAAAGAGAGACACACACACACACAGACAGACAGAGAGGCUGAGAGAGAGAGAUAGACAAACAGAGUGAGACACAGACAGAGAGAUAGUCAGACAGACGUGCACACACAGAGAGAGAGAGAGAGAAAUAUAGACAGAUACAGACAGAGAGGCUGAGAGAGAGAGACACACACACAGACACAGACUGUGAGACAGAGAGACAAACAGAAAGAGAGACACACACAGACAGAGAGGCCGAGAGAGAGAUAGACACAGACUGAGAGACAGAGGCUGAGAGAGAGACACACACAGACUGAGAGAUAGACACACAGACUGAGAGACAGAGGCUGAGAGAGAGACACACACAGACUGAGAGACAGAGGCUGAGAGAGAGAGAGAGACACAGACUGAGAGAGACAGAUAGACACACAGACUGAGUAACAGAGAGGCUGAGAGAGAGACACACAGACACAGACAGAGGCUGAGAGAGAGACACACACAGACUGUGGGACAGAGAGACACACACACAGACAGAAUCAGAGAGGCUGAGAGAGACACACACAAACUGAGAGAGAGAGAGAGAGACAGACACACACAGACGGGGAGAGAGAGAGGCUGAGAGAGAGAGAGAGCGCGACACAGACAGACACACAGACUGAGAGACAGAGAGGCCAAGUGAGAGAGAGAGAAAGAGACAGACUGGGAGAGAGAGGCAGAGAGGCUGAGAGUGAGAGAGAGAGAGAGAGAGAGAGAGAGAGAGACAGAUGUGGGAGGUAAAUAGAUUACAGUUGAUUGUUCAUGUUAAUAUCGCCACCAACACCAUCACACUCAUCUCCCAGAUUGUGAACUAUCCGAGUGGAGUCUCUGCCUAACUGGGUCGUAUAACUGCAUCACAUUUCUCAUUAAAUGCUGAGUGAAAAAAAAAAAAACACGCUCUUGUGAAACCUGACUGUUUUCUCGUCUUGUAACUGCACUAGUGAUUACGACGUCCCCCUGUGAGAGCAACUCGACACAACCACUAACUUCUCACGGGAAGACCGUAACUACACCACCAACCGACAGUUAGCACCACAGUUACUAAACACACCAGCAGUAUUUCAAUACGAACACAUCCACUCCGUUUCAGAGUGGAGCUUUGCUUUCAGGUGCACUUUUCAGACUGAACUCGCGUCGCAGUUGCCGUGCUCCGUCCAGUGGAUGAGUAAUAACUCCAGUUCAGCAGGACAUGUCCCUCAUUCAUUCAGAAGACCUACUGUACUGUAGAUCAGUGUCAUUUUUAGAGCACAUUUCCCAACCUAUUGUUUAGUGCUUAUCCUUUUUUUUUUUUUUAAGGACAUUUCAGUUUUUCUACAAAUCCUUGAAGGCUUCAUGACAGCCUUCUACUUUCUUCCAUGGACGUCAGUUUUACCCCUGAGCAUGAUGGAUCGAGAAUUUAAAAUCAAUUCCCAGAUGCGCGACCAGAAACCUGUGUUAACACUACUCUCAUUUUACGUCUCGGACGUUACUAUAUAUUAAAUAUUAGCCUCAUACACCGUGCCGUGCAUAAUUAUUCACCCCCUUGAGCUUUUCAACAUUUUUACUGUUAUAACCCAGAACUGAAAUGGAAUUAAAUAUUUUGUUUUUUUAACCAUUUUUGAUGUACACAAUAUUUCUAACAUUUGAACACACGACCGUGUAAUGCAGAUUAAUUAAACAGAAAAGCAGACAUUUGUUGGUUGUAUAAAUAUUCACCGCAUCGGGUCUGUACUCGGUAGAACCAUCUUUGUCUGCAGUUACAGCCUGAGGAGGGUAGCAAUGGUCUUGAAUUUCCUUUAUUUGUACACCAUCUAUCUGACUGUGGAUUGGUGGAGCCCAAACUCUUUAGAGAUGGUUUUGAGGCCUUUUCCAGCCUGACGAGCUUCAACAACUCUUUUUCCGAGGUCCUCAGAAAUCUCCUUUGUUCAUACCAUGAUACACUUCCGCAAACGUGCGUUGUGAAGAUCAGACUCUGAUAGAUCUCUGUUCUCUAAAUAAAACACGGAGCUCAUUCACAUCUGAUUGUGAGACCACCUGACUCUAAUUUCACCUUCAGAUUAACUGCUAAUCCUAGAGAGUCGCAUACUUUUGCCACUCACAGAUAUGUAAUAUUGGAUCAUUUUCCUCAAUGUAUAAAUGACCAAGUGUAAUAUUUUUGUCUCGUUUGUUUAAUUGGGUUCUCGUUAUCUACUUUGAGGACUUGUGUGAAAAUCUGAUGAUGGUUUUUGGUCAUAUUUAUGCAGAUAUUUAGAAAAUUCUAAAGGGUUGUAAAAAAAAAAAAUGAA